UGUGAACUGCAGGACACAUGAACAUCGACAUUUCGAACGCACAUUGCGGUCCUCGGAUUCUGUUCCCGGACCACUCCUGGCUGAGGGUCGUGUCAAUUUCAAAGACUGCUCGGCGAUGAUGCUGGUGUGUUGUGUUCAAUACGAAGAACACACAUAAUAAACACCUAUAUCUACGUGUCGGAGCGUGAUGGACGUUAUACGCAUUUCUUGUUUGAAAUGCGACGUCUUAAAACACGAUAGUGCCCAAAUAAUUGUUUGUUAACAUCAAGAACAACAGCAAUUAUGGUUGGACGAUAACAGCGCAUACACAUCAUCCAUUUAUUACCAAAAUAAAUGUUUACGUAUCAAAUAAGUACGUUGUAAAAUUAAGCGAUCGUCGUGUCCGAUACAUUUUUGACGACGUCAGAUCGCAUUUACGCGCGUACAAGAUAUAUAUGAACGUAUGGUAAAAGCAAAAAUGGACGAAACGUAUGAUGUUGAAUAUUAUUGAAAAACGAUACUAUCGACCUCAGAGCAGGUGAGACUA
This 526-nucleotide ribosomal RNA is filed under the name Dendroctonus valens (red turpentine beetle). RNAcentral describes it as "eukaryotic LSU rRNA". The stretch from base 1 to 90 matches the Rfam family "5.8S ribosomal RNA", at positions 66 to 154 of the family's 154-position model. The record is from RNAcentral. Lineage: Eukaryota; Metazoa; Arthropoda; Insecta; Coleoptera; Curculionidae.